UAGCCUAGUGGUUAAGGCUAUGGAUCGCCAAUCCGGAGACGGCGGGUUUGAUUCCCGU
Aedes albopictus (Asian tiger mosquito) is the source of this 58-nucleotide non-coding RNA. The record is from Rfam. Lineage: Eukaryota; Metazoa; Arthropoda; Insecta; Diptera; Culicidae.